RNAcentral lists this ribosomal RNA (425 nucleotides) under uncultured bacterium. Its description in RNAcentral is "partial 16S ribosomal RNA". It matches the Rfam family "Bacterial small subunit ribosomal RNA", at positions 354 to 796 of the family's 1533-position model. The record is from RNAcentral.
GUGGGGAAUCUUGCGCAAUGGGCGAAAGCCUGACGCAGCCAUGCCGCGUGAAUGAUGAAGGUCUUAGGAUUGUAAAAUUCUUUCACCGGGGACGAUAAUGACGGUACCCGGAGAAGAAGCUCCGGCUAACUUCGUGCCAGCAGUCGCGGUAAUACGAAGGGGGCUAGCGUUGCUCGGAAUUACUGGGCGUAAAGGGCGCGUAGGCGGACAGCUUAGUCAGAGGUGAUAGCCCAGGGCUCAACCUUGGAAUUGCCUUUGAUACUGGCUGUCUUGAGUUUGGGAGAGGUGAGUGGAACUCCGAGUGUAGAGGUGAAAUUCGUAGAUAUUCGGAAGAACACCAGUGGCGAAGGCGACUCACUGGCCCGUUACUGACGCUGAGGCGCGAAAGCGUGGGGAGCAAACAGGAUUAGAAACCCGGGUAGUCC